Molecule: ribosomal RNA, 226 nt
Filed under: uncultured Lactobacillus sp.
Lineage: Bacteria; Bacillati; Bacillota; Bacilli; Lactobacillales; Lactobacillaceae
Description: partial 16S ribosomal RNA
Rfam family: Bacterial small subunit ribosomal RNA
Source: RNAcentral
GAUCGGGAUAACACCUGGAAACAGAUGCUAAUACCGGAUAACAACAGAUGAUGCCUAUCAACUGUUUAAAAGAUGGUUCUGCUAUCACUCUUGGAUGGACCUGCGGUGCAUUAGCUAGUUGGUAGGGUAACGGCCUACCAAGGCGAUGAUGCAUAGCCGAGUUGAGAGACUGAUCGGCCACAUUGGGACUGAGACACGGCCCAAACUCCUACGGGAGGCAGCAGGC